RNAcentral lists this transfer RNA (71 nucleotides) under Thermoplasmata archaeon. RNAcentral describes it as "tRNA-Gly". It matches the Rfam family "tRNA". Rfam says of the family: Transfer RNA (tRNA) molecules are approximately 80 nucleotides in length. Their secondary structure includes four short double-helical elements and three loops (D, anti-codon, and T loops). Lineage: Archaea; Methanobacteriati; Thermoplasmatota; Thermoplasmata. RNAcentral also lists the same sequence under 1 other name. The record is from RNAcentral.
GCGGGGCUAGUCUAGUGGUAGGACAGAAGCUUCCCAAGCUUCUAACGCGGGUUCGAUUCCCGCGCCCCGCA